Molecule: unclassified non-coding RNA, 291 nt
Organism: Cricetulus griseus (Chinese hamster)
Lineage: Eukaryota; Metazoa; Chordata; Mammalia; Rodentia; Cricetidae
Rfam family: Metazoan signal recognition particle RNA
About the family: The signal recognition particle (SRP) is a universally conserved ribonucleoprotein. It is involved in the co-translational targeting of proteins to membranes.
Source: Ensembl
GCCAGCUAGGUAGCUCACGCCAGUAGUCCUAGCUACUAGAGGAGGAUCCAGGAGGAUCGCUGGAGUCCAGGAGUUCUGGGCUCUGUGCUAUGCCGAUCGAGUGUCCGCACUAAGUUUGGCAUCAAUAUGGUGACCUCCCGGGAGCCGGGGACCACCAGGCUGCCUAAGGAGGGGUGAACUGGCCCAGGGCGGAAAUGGAGCAGGUCAAAACUCCUGUGCUGAUCAGUAGUGGAAUCGCACCUGUGAAUAGUCACUGCACUCCACAUAGCAAGACCGCUACAAUACCCCCUC